Molecule: ribosomal RNA, 253 nt
Filed under: uncultured bacterium
Lineage: Bacteria
Description: partial 16S ribosomal RNA
Rfam family: Bacterial small subunit ribosomal RNA
Source: RNAcentral
UACGUAGGUGGCAAGCGUUGUCCGGAUUUAUUGGGUUUAAAGGGUGCGUAGGCGGUCUAUUAAGUCAGUUGUGAAAUACGGCAGCUCAACUGUCGAGGUGCAAUUGAUACUGAUGGACUUGAGUACUGAUGAGGUAAGCGGAAUGGACGGUGUAGCGGUGAAAUGCUUAGAUAUCGUCCAGAACACCGAUAGCGAAGGCAGCUUACUAAGGAGUAACUGACGCUGAGGCACGAAAGUGUGGGGAGCAAACGGG